GCUAGAUUCCAAACAAAGGCACUCUGAGCCAGCAAGAUAUAGAAUGAGAGUCAUCAGCCUACAGAGGCUGUAUGCUCUCAGGCUCCUCUUUCAAAGUGAAAACUACCUUGUCUUUUUCUUUUUUUACAAUGGAGUUUCAUCAGAAAUAAUCAAGUUUGAAGUUCCUGAAAGUUAUUCAUUUAUUGGAUUCGACUUUCCACCCUUCCCUUGGAUUCCAGGAGCCAGGUCAAGACAGUGAGCUCUCAUGGAAAAUUAAGUACAUUUGCAAAGAAUAAACGCUGGCAUGAAAGCCCUCAUAUGAGAAUAUCGAGUGAGUCCUUUCUCAGACUGUGCAUUGACAUUGCCACCAACAUUACUGAGGCCUCAGUCUGGGACUGGAAGACUGUUUCUAUGAGCCUAUGGCAGUGCAACAGUAUGGGAACCAGUGACAAAGAAGAGCUGGUCCUUCACGGUGGCCAGGAGGCACCAAAAGGAGAGAAUGGAGACACUGAAGGAAGGAAUCAAAGCAGAAGAAUGUAAAAUCAAGAACUGCGACAGGAUAAAGCCACGAGUACAUCUUGUGACCUCAAGACCUAUGCUGACAACUCUAAAGGAGAAACAAAAGCCUUUGACCUUUUAAGGUAUUUUCAGAGUAAGAGUGUUUGCACUCUUCUCUGGAAUGAAUCACAUGACCUUCAGCACAACAGUGACAUCACCUGCAAGUCAGCUUUGGUAAUCACAGGAAAGAAUGCUUUCGAAGUGUACCUGUGUAUGUAAACACAUGCAUUUGUUUGUUGUCAAAGAAGCAGAGGAUUCCAUAUAUUCUUGCAGGUUUUGUCACAUGCCAGUUCUUGGAGAACAAUG
This 843-nucleotide long non-coding RNA is filed under the name Cricetulus griseus (Chinese hamster). RNAcentral describes it as "lncRNA (ENSCGRG00015033212.1)". Lineage: Eukaryota; Metazoa; Chordata; Mammalia; Rodentia; Cricetidae. The record is from RNAcentral.